RNAcentral lists this long non-coding RNA (276 nucleotides) under Coturnix japonica (Japanese quail). Its description in RNAcentral is "lncRNA (ENSCJPG00005021008.1)". The record is from RNAcentral. Lineage: Eukaryota; Metazoa; Chordata; Aves; Galliformes; Phasianidae.
ACUGCUAUCUUCACAGGGGGGAGAUAAAUCACAACAUAGACCAUUUUUCUCCAUUAAGUAGGAAGGAGCCUUCUGCGCUGCUGGUACAUGAACUGAGGUACUUCUCACCUCCUUACAGAAAAGGCAGAUGAUGCUGGAGUGAGAGUUUUGCUGGCUGUGGGCAGAUUGCGAAUCCUGACUUCUGAGAAAGGAUGUCAUGGAAUACAGCUCAUGUGCUACCAGAUGGAAGUGCCACAGAGGGUAAUGUUAUAGAGGCAAGGGUCAGACUUCUAUCUU